AUGCAGGAGGAGGAGGAUCUUCUGGGCAACAAGAGGAAGUGGGACAAGACUGGGUUCUACCCAUAUGAGUCUGAUGAAGAUGAGCCGUACGAGUAUGAAUCUGGAGCUGAUGUGGUCGAGGGGAACAUCGAGUCCUUUAAAGAGAAGGAGGUGUUGAAGAUCAGGGUCCAAGGACCUGCUAAGUACUACAACUAG
This 195-nucleotide ribosomal RNA is filed under the name Triticum aestivum (bread wheat). Its description in RNAcentral is "partial small subunit ribosomal RNA". The record is from RNAcentral. Lineage: Eukaryota; Viridiplantae; Streptophyta; Magnoliopsida; Poales; Poaceae.